UACCUCAUAUGCGUCUGAGUUGAACAAUC
RNAcentral lists this non-coding RNA (29 nucleotides) under Rattus norvegicus (Norway rat). Lineage: Eukaryota; Metazoa; Chordata; Mammalia; Rodentia; Muridae. The record is from RNAcentral.